GUAUUUUUUCAGGCACAUGAAUGCAUGGUCAAACAUGUACUUUGAACUAUACUUUCCUGUUGGAUAUUCUUUUAGCAUGUUAUUAAAUGUAUGCUUUUCACACAAACACACUAAUGUUGUUAAUUCUUCCUUUUUUCCAUCUUCAUCCUCCGACAUUUUUGUUCCGCUCUUUCUCUCUUGUUGGUCCAUUUAUGUCACUUUGGAUCUAUGAAAUAGUUUCUAGCAUGUAAUUGUUUAAUUUGUGCUUUUGUAAAGGAAUUUAUGAUUUUAAACCAAAAUUCAAAAUUAAGUUUUUGAGAAUUCAUUCAAUAUGUCAUUCAGUCUAAACCUACUGAAAAUUCUCUAAAUGCAAAUUUUUUUUGAGUUCAACGAGAAUAAACGAGUCAGAAUUUGAAGUUACUUAACGGUAUUGUUGGCGACUCUAUUGGCCCUUAAAUAGAAAUGACAUUUUGAGAGGACGAACAGUGCAAUAAAUAGUUGUACUCUAAGUAAUGCAAGUUAUACUGUAUGUGGGCAUACAUCAUUAUACAAGUACUGCUUCAUAACACAUUUUUCUCUUUUCUAGAUAACACGUGUUCCAUUUGCUACUUUUUGAAGACACAUGUAUGGCCACAUUUGUUCAUCAUCUCUAUCACUUUUUCUUAGAUGAAUUAAAACCAGUUUCUGGAAGAUUUUAUGGUCUGAUAAAAUUGCUCUUUCGUGCUUUAAAAUUUAAAAUUUUUUCUUGAGAUUCAUAUUAUAUGCCUGCAAUUAUGCUAUCUGGAUCAUUAAUUUUGAUUUUAAAAACAUUUUUCAUUGCCUAUCUGCAUCAUGUUAAAGGAGAAACUCAUGUGAUUAUGUAUUUGUGCGUUACUUGAAUUUUUCAAAAUUGUGAUUUUUUCAGGCACAUGAAUGCAUAGUCAGACAUGUACUUUGAACUAUACUUUCCUGUUGGAUAUUCUAUUAGCAUGUUAUUAAGUGCAUGUUUUUCACACUAACACACUAAUGUUGUUUGAUAAUAUGUCUUAAAGAACUGGACAAUAUUAAUUCUUCCUAAUUCUUCCUUUUUUCCAUCUUCAUCCUUCAACAUUUUGUUCUUCUCUUUCUCUCUUCUUGGUCCAUUUAUGUCACUUUGCAUCUAUGAAAUAGUUUCUUGCAUGGAAUUGUUUAAUUUGUGCUUUUGUAAAGGAAUAUAUUGUUUCAAACCCAAGAUUAAGAAUUAAGUUUUUGCAAAUUCAUUCAAUAUGUCAUUCAGACUGAACCUAUUAAAAAUUCUCAAAAUGCAAAAAAAAAUCGAGUUCAAUGAGAAUAAACAAGUCAGAAUUUGAAGUUACUUAAUGGUAUUGUUGGCGACUCUAUUGCCCCUUACAUAGAAAUGACACUUUGAGAGGACGAACAGUGCAUAAAUAGUUGUACUCUAAGUAAUGCAAGUAUACUGUAUGUGGGCCUACUUCAUUAUACAAGUACUGCUUUAUAACAUAUGUUUCUCUUUUCUAGAUAACACGUGUUCCAUUUGCUACUUUUCGGAGACACAUGUAUGGCCACAUUUAUUCAUCAUCUCUAUCCUUUUUCUUAGAUGAAUUAAAAGCAGCUUCUGGAUGAUUUUAUGGCUUUCCAUAGUCAAGUUUAUCUACCUCAGAUACCAGAAAGUACAACCUUUAUCAAUCGACGAAGAAACACUUUGCUUGGAAUUUUUCACUAACGGAAAGAAAGCCCUCGUUAUAAUGCAUUCACUAUUAGCUGACAUUUGCUCUAUUUUUGGGGAUUCUCUAUUUUUCCCUAGUUUUGCUUGUUGAAGAUGUGACAUGUCUUCUAUGGGACUUCAUGCCCCUUUCUCUGUUGAGGAUUUGAUGCACAACGACCCUUACUGAAAAAGAGACGUAUCAUUUGUGAUUAAUUUUUUGUUUGUUGUUGGUCAUUACACUUGUUGAUUUUUAAAGUAUUUUUUCAGUUUCUUAUGAAUUGUUGUAUGUGGCAGUUGCUUGCAUGGCUGCAGCACGGUCGCAAGAGGGUAUUUUGCACUGAAAUAUUAUGGGAUCUGCUUUGUUGAUUACCAAAUAUGGGAUGCAAUAAUCAUUGAUUCUAAGUUGGCAAAUUAUUUCAAUCCUGUAUAAGAGCAUCCUUUGUCAAGUCAAGUUGUCACAUUUUGGUAAAGGGCUUCAGAACUUCUACUAAGUGCUACAAAUUAUGAAAUAGAUAUUGAUCUUUGGAGUGCAAGUCACCUCAUGGUUGAAUUGUUUGUAGGAAAAGCUAAAUGGACUAUGAGUGGAGUUUUGGGUGUUGUAAAAGAAAAUACAAUGAAAAUAUUCAUUAGUGACAGGUGUUAUGUCCCUUUUCAUUUCGGAGGAAAUAUGGAAAUACGCUUAGUGAAGUUCAUGAAGUGAUUUACCUUGGACAUCAUAAGAACCUAUAUGAUCAAGAUCAAAGAGCUGCAGUUAUGCUCCAACAAUGACGUUCUAUGGACUGCUUCAAUUGGAUGGCGCCUAAUCACCGUCCAGAUGGAUGGACGAUUUUAGACAAAUAAUUGUUUCAGAUUGAAAAAGGAUUUGCAUUAAAUCAUAGAGAUAUUUUUUUUCUAUACUCAAGUUUGCAUAUAACAAAUUCCUUUUUUGUAUGCUGUCAAAAAUAACUUUGUAAAUAUAAUUAUGUUGGGCCCGUGCUCAUAUCCAUCUA
This is a long non-coding RNA of Solanum lycopersicum (tomato), 2652 nucleotides long. RefSeq lists it as uncharacterized. The record is from RefSeq and is a predicted model, not a curated record. NCBI's taxonomy places the organism in Eukaryota, Viridiplantae, Streptophyta, Magnoliopsida, Solanales, Solanaceae.